Molecule: long non-coding RNA, 1331 nt
Filed under: Heterocephalus glaber (naked mole-rat)
Lineage: Eukaryota; Metazoa; Chordata; Mammalia; Rodentia; Bathyergidae
Description: lncRNA (ENSHGLG00100025253.2)
Source: RNAcentral
UUUAGGGAAUGAAGUGUGACAGACUCUUGAUUGGACAGAGAGUAAUCUGAUGCUGAUCAGGGGAGGGGAAUGGACCAAGGCCUGUUUGGUUGGAAUCUUCUCGGCGUCCCUGUAUCCUUAGGUCUUCAGAGAUAAGGCUGUUUCUUUCCGCUGGGCACAGGAAUCAGCUUUCGUGAGAAGGGUUUUGCCGUGUAGCCCGGACUGGCCUUGAAUUUGUACUGAUCUCCUGCCUCAGCCUCCUUAGGACUGGAAUUACAGGUGUGCACUAUGACCAUGCCAAGCUGUUUGCCUUUUUUUUUUUUUUUCUGCAGUGCUGGGGAAUAGAUUCUUGGGCCUCCCAUGUGCUAGGCAAGCUCUGCCACUGAGCCACACCUCUGCCCCUGACUUUACUUCUGGAACCAUGGAUAUUUUCAAUCCAUGGUGACUGAAAACCUUUCUAGUGCUUUCUUUUAUUCCAUUGUGGGUUUUACCAAACCACCUACACUAAGGCCCCCUGUUGACCUUCCUUCUGGCAGCUGCCCCUGGACAGUGACCAUAGGUGACAAGUGGCAGGCUUAGCUCACCAGAUACCCUUCCCUGGCAUCUCUGAGGACCUGAAGGCUGGAAUUCCGGCCUGCCCAGAAUCACUCCUCUGCACAUUUCCACAGAUGUUUCUCUUUUGUAAGCCACGGAACCAUACACUGUAUAUUAGAAAAUUCCAUUUCAAAUGAAUUAAAAAUUUAAGGGGCCAGGGAUUUAGCUCAGUGGUUUCCCCACCUGCUGCGCAAGCGCAAGGACCAGAGUUCGAUCCCCGGUUCAAAAAAAAUAAAAAAAAUUUAAGAAGAUUGGCUUUCAAAGGAUUGGUUUUAACUAUCUGAAAUGUUUACUUAUGUGGAACAGCUCAUUCUCUAUGAAAGGAGGCCUCACUGCACUCAUUCAUGAAAAUGGAAACAAUCGGUUGGGUGUGGUGGCCCACAUCUGUAAUCCCAGCACUCUGAAGGCUGAGGCAGGAGGAUCAAGGGUUCGAGGCCAGCCUGGGCAACUUAGCAAAACGCUGUCUCAAAAAAGAAAAUGAGAAAAUGGGAACAAUCAGAGCUUUGUGUUUCAGGGAGGGCUUUGAAAUCUUAGAGACCCAAGUAUGGAGCCCUGUUCCAGGCUGGUCUUUGUCUGUUCGUUCAUCUUCAAAGUGCAGUAAUAACAAGGGUCUCAUGGGGUUGUUGGGAGAAUUAAGGCAGAGCCCUUUGUAUAGAGUCACUUCUACAACUGCUCAAAAGAGUUUUUUUUUUUUUUGUUUUUUUGUUUUUGGUGAAACCAUGCUUAAUCAGAGCAAGUAAUUUAGAAGAUCAGACUGG